AGUGAACGCUGGCGGUAGGCCUAACACAUGCAAGUCGAACGGCAGCACAGUAAGAGCUUGCUCUUACGGGUGGCGAGUGGCGGACGGGUGAGGAAUACAUCGGAAUCUACUUUUUCGUGGGGGAUAACGUAGGGAAACUUACGCUAAUACCGCAUACGACCUACGGGUGAAAGCAGGGGAUCUUCGGACCUUGCGCGAUUGAAUGAGCCGAUGUCGGAUUAGCUAGUUGGCUGGGUAAAGGCCCACCAAGGCGACGAUCCGUAGCUGGUCUGAGAGGAUGAUCGGCCACACUGGAACUGAGACACGGUCCAGACUCCUACGGGAGGCAGCAGUGGGGAAUAUUGGACAAUGGGCGCAAGCCUGAUCCAGCCAUACCGCGUGGGUGAAGAAGGCCUUCGGGUUGUAAAGCCCUUUUGUUGGGAAAGAAAAGCAGCAGGUUAAUACCCCGCUGUUCUGACGGUACCCAAAGAAUAAGCACCGGCUAACUUCGUG
This 492-nucleotide ribosomal RNA is filed under the name uncultured bacterium. RNAcentral describes it as "partial 16S ribosomal RNA". It matches the Rfam family "Bacterial small subunit ribosomal RNA", at positions 29 to 507 of the family's 1533-position model. The record is from RNAcentral.